Long non-coding RNA from Hylaeus volcanicus, 1502 nucleotides. RefSeq lists it as uncharacterized. The transcript is spliced from 3 exons. Lineage: Eukaryota; Metazoa; Arthropoda; Insecta; Hymenoptera; Colletidae. The record is from RefSeq and is a predicted model, not a curated record.
CAUAAGUACAGUUGGUGUACCGGUCUCGAAGAUUCCGGUAGUGAUGCUGCUUGUUGGACGGAACGGAGAGGCGGCCAUUGGUUCCGAUGCAAACUGAAACAAAAGGAUAUAGACGUUUAACGUUGAUUGAAAUCAACUCAGGUUUUCCUAGUGUGUCAAGAACGACCCUCUGCUUGCAUUAUGCUAGCUAGUUAGGUCUGCUCGAGUAAGCAAGAGGUGCAGUAGCCUUGAGCAGACAAUUAAUACUAGAACUACCAAGACCAUGUACUUUAUACUUCUGUCUAAAAUUACUGAAUUAUUGACAACGCUUUUACUGCAAUUUUUGAUAUCAUUGAGUAAAUUUAUAAGAGGCACGAUUCGAAUGUUAAGCCUUGAUACUAUUGCUAGAAAUGCUAGAAAAUAACAAUGACUACAUGAACUACCAUUUCUACUCUCUACGUCAUAAUUUAACCAAAUAUCGAGGACAUCCAUAGACAUCUGAUAUACUUGAAAGCUUUCGUUAAAAAUUCCAUCAACAAUAAGUGCUUUCGCUGGUUGUAGAUCUAAUUGAAAUUUCCAAAAGUCACACCUUGUUAACAAGUAUCUCUGAUUGCAGAGUACUGUUAUCGACCAAGUCGCGGCGACGUUUCGUAAACGUUCGGAGCAUAAACACUCGUCGCGCGACUUCCGUGCGUCGACGACCCCCUGUUCAUAGAAUCACUCCGUGGAACGGGCUGAGGUCGCCACCCACAUCGUUGAAAGCGCUUCCCCGAUCUAUAGAUAGCUUUCUAAGCUUUGAAAGCGUGCCGUGGCGGGUGGGCGAACCACUUCCACACACACGAGUACGCGCUUGGAUUUGUUGUGUAAUCACACACGUAUCCCCAACGUGUCGCAACACACUCUUGCAAGCUAACACAGUGCGUAAAAGUAACCCUAAGCGAUCGCAGCUCUCAUCCACUUCGCAAUGAUACUGUUCCUAUUUGCACACAUCGCAUCGUUAAUAUCCAAUGCGCUGAAUUAACGGCAGUAUGAUUUAUCGACAUCUAAUAUAAAAAUACAUUUAAUACAAUAUAUAAAUUUACUUAAUAUUAAAUAUAUUUAAUGCAUCAAUGCAUCGGUUCAAAGUGAACCGUUCCCCUCAGCCUUUGUCCUAUUCUCCAACUCCCUGACUAUAAUAUAAAUGAAUAAUAAAAAAUAAAUAAAUACUAUAUUUAAUAUAAAAAUAAAUAUGAUGGGUUCGAAGUGAACCGUUUCUCCUCAGCCUUUAUCCUAUUCUCGACUCCUCGCUUCCCAAGCCAACCCAAGAAGAAAACGGCCCAGCCAUCGGCUAUUCUCGUCGAAAAACGUAAUUGGAUCAAUUACCAUUCGCGCCGGCAACUAAACCGCCGGUAUCGCGGCAAUAUCAUUCAUAAGUUGGCUAAUAACCGGAACAUCGAUCGACGAGGGCCCGAUCGCUCACGCCCUUCGCAAAAACGCACGUCGAUGAUCGACAGACGUCGAAACCCUGCCCCCAUCCCCAUGUU